Cyprinus carpio carpio is the source of this 921-nucleotide long non-coding RNA. NCBI's taxonomy places the organism in Eukaryota, Metazoa, Chordata, Actinopteri, Cypriniformes, Cyprinidae. The record is from Ensembl.
GUUCUUGGUAGUUGCCAGAGUAUUGCUUUAGUGUUCUGGGAGGAUGCAAUGGUGUCACUGCAUACAGUAGGUGCUGUUUAUUAGUCACUAAGGUGUUCUAGGUGGUUGUCAGGGUGUUGCUAAGGUGUCCUGGGUGGUUUCCAGGAUGUUGCUAAGGUGUUCUUGGUGGUUGUCAGGGUGUUGCUCAAGUGUUCUGGGUGGUUGCAAUUGUGUCGCUACAUGGGUGCUGUUUAGUAAUUGCUAGGGUGUUCUAGGUGGUUGCCAGGGUGUUGCUAAGGGGUUCUGGGUAGCUGUCAGGGUGUUGCUAAGUGGUUGCUAGCAUGUCCAAGGUGUCUGGAAGUGGCCACUGAGGUGAUCUGGGUGAUUGUUAGAAUGUUACUAAGGCUAUCAGCUGUGGUUGCUAGGGUGUUGGUAAAUUGUUCCUUACUGGCCCAAGUAUAUGGAGAUUGUUUUUUUUUUUUUUUUACCUAUUUUCUCAUUCACCAGAUGAAAAAUGUGCUUGAUCUGAGAUAAGACAACACAAAAAAUGUGAAUGUUUAGUAUAAUUCUAAGCUGUCAUUCCAUACCUAAAAAUGUAACAAGCUGUGACAAUUUGUCCAAUUUUCCUUUAUCACCAGAUGCAAAACGUAAGAUUUUGUGUCUCCGAGUUGUUCUUGCAGCUUUCUCAAGAUGUUUCCAGCCAUCCUAAUAGAGAAAAAUACUAGUUUAUUGUACAUGUCUCGGCCUGAAGUUGUUUCUCCUGAAAUGUCAAACACCUGUAGUGCAAAGAGAAAAAGAGGUUAUUACAGCAAAGACGAGAAUCUCACCAGGUUUGUGACGGUUGGCUCUGUGGUUCUCCAGACAGACCCACGAUGGACAAAAGUGCUCACAUUUACUCACAGUCUCCCAUGGAGGGGUCACUGACCACCAUUUAUUUGAGGG